AGUGAACGCUGGCGGUAGGCCUAAUACAUGCAAGUCGAACGGCAACACAGUAAGAUCUUUCUCUUACGGGUGGCGAGUGGCGGACGGGUGAGUAAUACAUCGAAAUCUACUUUUUCUUGGGGGAUAUCGGAGGAAAGCUUACACUAAUACCGCAUACGACCUACUGGUUAAAGCACUGGAUCUACGGACCUUGCGCGAUAGAAUGAGCCGAUUCCGGAUUAGCUAGUUGGCGGGGUAAAGGCCCACCAAGGCAACGAUCCGUAGCUGGCCUGAGAGGAUGAUCAGCUACACUGGAACUGAGACACGGUCCAGACUCCUACGGGAGGAAGCAGUGGGGAAUAUUGGACGAUGGGCGCAAGCCUGAUCCAGCCAUGCCGCGUGGGUGAUGAAGGCCUUCGGGUUGUAAAGCACUUUUAUUAGGAAAGAACAGAAGCAGAUUAAUCUCCCGCUGUUUUGACGGUACCCAAAGAAUAAGCACCGGCUAACUACGUG
RNAcentral lists this ribosomal RNA (492 nucleotides) under uncultured bacterium. RNAcentral's name for it is "partial 16S ribosomal RNA". It matches the Rfam family "Bacterial small subunit ribosomal RNA", at positions 29 to 507 of the family's 1533-position model. The record is from RNAcentral.